CAGGAUGAACGCUAGCGACAGGCUUAACACAUGCAAGUCGAGGGGCAGCAUAAAAGUAGCAAUACUUGGUGGCGACCGGCGCACGGGUGAGUAACGCGUAUGCAACCUACCUAUCAGAGGGGAAUAACCCGGCGAAAGUCGGACUAAUACCGCAUAAAACAGGGGCACCGCAUGGUGAUAUUUGUUAAAGAAAUUCGCUGAUAGAUGGGCAUGCGUUCCAUUAGGUAGUUGGUGAGGUAACGGCUCACCAAGCCGACGAUGGAUAGGGGAACUGAGAGGUUGGUCCCCCACACUGGUACUGAGACACGGACCAGACUCCUACGGGAGGCAGCAGUGAGGAAUAUUGGUCAAUGGGCGGGAGCCUGAACCAGCCAAGUCGCGUGAAGGAAGAAGGAUCUAUGGUUCGUAAACUUCUUUUGCAGGGGAAUAAAGUGCAGGACGUGUCCUGUUUUGUAUGUACCCUGAGAAUAAGGAUCGGCUAACUCCGUGCCAGCCGCCGC
This 500-nucleotide ribosomal RNA is filed under the name uncultured bacterium. RNAcentral describes it as "bacterial SSU rRNA". It matches the Rfam family "Bacterial small subunit ribosomal RNA", at positions 25 to 518 of the family's 1533-position model. The record is from RNAcentral.